GCUUGUCUCAAAGAUUAAGCCAUGCAUGUCUAAGUAUAAACAAAUCUAUACUGUGAAACUGCGAAUGGCUCAUUAUAUCAGUUAUAGUUUAUUUGAUGGUUCUUGCUACUUGGAUAACCGUAGUAAUUCUAGAGCUAAUACAUGCGUCAAGUCCUGACUGCGCGAGCGGAAAGGAUGUGUUUAUUAGAUACAACCAAUGCGGGGCAACCCGGUAUAUGGUGAUUCAUAAUAACUUUCGGAUCGAUCUUCGGAUCGAUGCAUCAUUCAAGUUUCUGCCCUAUCAGCUUUGGAUGGUAGGGUAUUGGCCUACCAUGGCUUUAACGGGUAACGGAGAAUUAGGGUUCGAUUCCGGAGAGGGAGCCUGAGAAACGGCUACCACAUCCAAGGAAGGCAGCAGG
RNAcentral lists this ribosomal RNA (398 nucleotides) under uncultured Chrysophyceae. RNAcentral's name for it is "partial small subunit ribosomal RNA". It matches the Rfam family "Eukaryotic small subunit ribosomal RNA", at positions 30 to 432 of the family's 1831-position model. The record is from RNAcentral. Lineage: Eukaryota; Chrysophyceae.